UUUCCUUCGGGACUGAUUAUUUUGUGACUGAGUGGCGGACGGGUGAGUAACGCGUGGGUAACCUGCCUUGUACAGGGGGAUAACAGUUGGAAACGGCUGCUAAUACCGCAUAAGCGCACGGCAUCGCAUGAUGCAGGGUGAAAAACUCCGGUGGUAUAAGAUGGACCCGCGUUGGAUUAGCUAGUUGGUGAGGUAACGGCCCACCAAGGCGACGAUCCAUAGCCGACCUGAGAGGGUGACCGGCCACAUUGGGACUGAGACACGGCCCAAACUCCUACGGGAGGCAGCAGUGGGGAAUAUUGCACAAUGGGCGAAAGCCUGAUGCAGCGACGCCGCGUGAGCGAAGAAGUAUUUCGGUAUGUAAAGCUCUAUCAGCAGGGAAGAUAAUGACGGUACCUGACUAAGAAGCACCGGCUAAAUACGUGCCAGCAGCCGCGGUAAUACGUAUGGUGCAAGCGUUAUCCGGAUUUACUGGGUGUAAAGGGAGCGCAGGCGGUGCGGCAAGUCUGAUGUGAAAGCCCGGGGCUCAACCCCGGUACUGCAUUGGAAACUGUCGUACUAGAGUGUCGGAGGGGUAAGCGGAAUUCCUAGUGUAGCGGUGAAAUGCAUAGAUAUUAGGAGGAACACCAGUGGCGAAGGCGGCUUACUGGACGAUAACUGACGC
RNAcentral lists this ribosomal RNA (664 nucleotides) under uncultured Lachnospiraceae bacterium. RNAcentral describes it as "bacterial SSU rRNA". It matches the Rfam family "Bacterial small subunit ribosomal RNA", at positions 74 to 746 of the family's 1533-position model. Lineage: Bacteria; Bacillati; Bacillota; Clostridia; Lachnospirales; Lachnospiraceae. The record is from RNAcentral.